GGCGGCCAUAGCGAAGGGGAAACGCCCGGUCACAUUCCGAACCCGGAAGCUAAGACCUUCUGCGCCGAUGGUACUGCAAGGGCGACCUUGUGGGAGAGUAGGACACCGC
This 109-nucleotide ribosomal RNA is filed under the name Pseudolysinimonas yzui. The record is from RNAcentral. Lineage: Bacteria; Bacillati; Actinomycetota; Actinomycetes; Micrococcales; Microbacteriaceae.